Molecule: ribosomal RNA, 255 nt
Filed under: uncultured bacterium
Lineage: Bacteria
Description: partial 16S ribosomal RNA
Rfam family: Bacterial small subunit ribosomal RNA
Source: RNAcentral
UACGGAGGGUGCGAGCGUUGCUCGGAAUUAUUGGGCGUAAAGCGUACGCAGGCGGCUCGGCAAGUCGAGUGUGAAAUCCCGGGGCUCAACUCCGGAACUGCAUCCGAUACUGCCGGGCUUGAGUGCGGGAGAGGGAAGCGGAAUUCCUGGUGUAGAGGUGAAAUUCGUAGAUAUCAGGAGGAACACCGGUGGCGAAAGCGGCUUCCUGGCCCGACACUGACGCUCAUGGUACGAAAAGCGUGGGGAGCAAACAGG